GCUGGGCAUGGUGGUGCAUGCCUGUAAUCCCAGCGGCCAGGAGGGUGAGUCAGGAAGACCAUGAGUUCAAAGCCAGCCUUAGCAACAUAGUGAGGCCCUGAGCAACUCAUUGAAACCCUGUCUCUA
Molecule: small RNA, 126 nt
Filed under: Marmota monax (woodchuck)
Lineage: Eukaryota; Metazoa; Chordata; Mammalia; Rodentia; Sciuridae
Source: RNAcentral